CACGUAGGGGACGAGCGUUGUCCGGAUUCAUUGGGCGUAAAGCGCGCGUAGGCGGCUCGGAAAGUCGGGUGUGAAAGCCCGGGGCUCAACCCCGGGACUGCAUCCGAUACUUCCGGGCUGGAGGUAGGUAGGGGAGAUCGGAAUUCCUGGUGUAGCGGUGAAAUGCGCAGAUAUCAGGAGGAACACCGGUGGCGAAGGCGGAUCUCUGGGCCUUACCUGACGCUGAGGAGCGAAAGCUAGGGGAGCGAACAGG
This 253-nucleotide ribosomal RNA is filed under the name uncultured bacterium. RNAcentral describes it as "partial 16S ribosomal RNA". It matches the Rfam family "Bacterial small subunit ribosomal RNA", at positions 524 to 776 of the family's 1533-position model. The record is from RNAcentral.